UACGGAGGGAGCUAGCGUUGUUCGGAAUUACUGGGCGUAAAGCGCGCGUAGGCGGCUUUGUAAGUUAGAGGUGAAAGCCCGGGGCUCAACCCCGGAAUUGCCUUUAAGACUGCAUCGCUUGAAUCCGGGAGAGGUGAGUGGAAUUCCGAGUGUAGAGGUGAAAUUCGUAGAUAUUCGGAAGAACACCAGUGGCGAAGGCGACUUACUGGACACAUAUUGACGCUGAGGUGCGAAAGCGUGGGGAGCAAACAGG
RNAcentral lists this ribosomal RNA (253 nucleotides) under uncultured bacterium. RNAcentral's name for it is "partial 16S ribosomal RNA". It matches the Rfam family "Bacterial small subunit ribosomal RNA", at positions 524 to 776 of the family's 1533-position model. The record is from RNAcentral.